CAAUAAGCGGAGGAAAAGAAACCAACAGGGAUUGCCCUAGUAACGGCGAGUGAAGCGGCAACAGCUCAAAUUUGAAAUCUGGCUUCGGCCCGAGUUGUAAUUUGUAGAGGAAGCUUUUGGUGAGGCACCUUCUGAGUCCCCUGGAACGGGGCGCCAUAGAGGGUGAGAGCCCCGUAUAGUCGGAUGCCGAUCCAAUGUAAAGCUCCUUCGACGAGUCGAGUAGUUUGGGAAUGCUGCUCAAAAUGGGAGGUAAAUUUCUUCUAAAGCUAAAUACCGGCCAGAGACCGAUAGCGCACAAGUAGAGUGAUCGAAAGAUGAAAAGCACUUUGAAAAGAGGGUUAAAUAGCACGUGAAAUUGUUGAAAGGGAAGCGUUUGUGACCAGACUUGCGCCGUUCCGAUCAUCCGGUGUUCUCACCGGUGCACUCGGGGCGGCUCAGGCCAGCAUCGGUUUUGGUGGGGGGAUAAAGGUUCGGGGAACGUAGCUCCUCCGGGAGUGUUAUAGCCCCGGGCGUAAUGCCCUCGCCGGGACCGAGGUUCGCGCAUCUGCAAGGAUGCUGGCGUAAUGGUCAUCAACGACCCGUCUUGAAACACGGACCAAGGAGUCAAGGUUUUGCGCGAGUGUUUGGGUGUAAAACCCGCACGCGUAAUGAAAGUGAACGUAGGUGAGAGCUUCGGCGCAUCAUCGACCGAUCCUGAUGUAUUCGGAUGGAUUUGAGUAAGAGCGUUAAGCCUUGGACCCGAAAGAUGGUGAACUAUGCUUGGAUAGGGUGAAGCCAGAGGAAACUCUGGUGGAGGCUCGCAGCGGUUCUGACGUGCAAAUCGAUCGUCAAAUCUGAGCAUGGGGGCGAAAGACUAAUCGAACCAUCUAGUAGCUGGUACC
RNAcentral lists this ribosomal RNA (881 nucleotides) under Sordaria tomentoalba. Its description in RNAcentral is "partial large subunit ribosomal RNA". It matches the Rfam family "Eukaryotic large subunit ribosomal RNA", at positions 44 to 958 of the family's 3401-position model. Lineage: Eukaryota; Fungi; Ascomycota; Sordariomycetes; Sordariales; Sordariaceae. The record is from RNAcentral.